AUGAGGUAGAUAGGUUCGAGGUGGAAGCGUGGUGACACGUGUAGCUGACGAAUACUAAUCGAUCGAGGACUUAACUAA
This 78-nucleotide ribosomal RNA is filed under the name Saliterribacillus persicus. RNAcentral describes it as "partial 23S ribosomal RNA". Lineage: Bacteria; Bacillati; Bacillota; Bacilli; Caryophanales; Bacillaceae. The record is from RNAcentral.